GACGAACGGUGGCGGCGUGCCUAAUACAUGCAAGUCGAACGCUUUUUCUUUCACCGGAGCUUGCUCCACCGAAAGAAAAAGAGUGGCGAACGGGUGAGUAACACGUGGGUAACCUGCCCAUCAGAAGGGGAUAACACUUGGAAACAGGUGCUAAUACCGUAUAACAAGUAAAACCGCAUGGUUUUACUUUGAAAGGCGCUUUUGCGUCACUGAUGGAUGGACCCGCGGUGCAUUAGCUAGUUGGUGAGGUAACGGCUCACCAAGGCAACGAUGCAUAGCCGACCUGAGAGGGUGAUCGGCCACAUUGGGACUGAGACACGGCCCAAACUCCUACGGGAGGCAGCAGUAGGGAAUCUUCGGCAAUGGACGAAAGUCUGACCGAGCAACGCCGCGUGAGUGAAGAAGGUUUUCGGAUCGUAAAACUCUGUUGUUAGAGAAGAACAAGGAUGAGAGUAAAAAGUUCAUCCCUUGACGGUAUCUAACCAGAAAGCCACGGCUAACUACGUGCCAGCAGCCGCGGUAAUACGUAGGUGGCAAGCGUUGUCCGGAUUUAUUGGGCGUAAAGCGAGCGCAGGCGGUUUCUUAAGUCUGAUGUGAAAGCCCCCGGCUCAACCGGGGAGGGUCAUUGGAAACUGGGAAACUUGAGUGCAGAAGAGGAGAGUGGAAUUCCAUGUGUAGCGGUGAAAUGCGUAGAUAUAUGGAGGAACACCAGUGGCGAAGGCGGCUCUCUGGUCUGUAACUGACGCUGAGGCUCGAAAGCGUGGGGAGCAAACAGGAU
Molecule: ribosomal RNA, 778 nt
Filed under: Enterococcus devriesei
Lineage: Bacteria; Bacillati; Bacillota; Bacilli; Lactobacillales; Enterococcaceae
Description: bacterial SSU rRNA
Rfam family: Bacterial small subunit ribosomal RNA
Source: RNAcentral